This 91-nucleotide transfer RNA is filed under the name bacterium LRH843. RNAcentral's name for it is "tRNA-Ser". It matches the Rfam family "tRNA". From Rfam's summary of the family: Transfer RNA (tRNA) molecules are approximately 80 nucleotides in length. The record is from RNAcentral.
GGAGAAGUACCCAAGUGGCUCAAGGGGCGCCCCUGCUAAGGGUGUAGAUCGCGUAAGCGGUGCGAGGGUUCGAAUCCCUCCUUCUCCGCCA